AACCUUAUGGACCUGCGGGCGUAUACCUGCGGAGGGAUCAUUACAGAGUUAUCUAACUCCCAAACCCAUGUGAACUUACCUUUGUUGCCUCGGCAGUAGUUGCUGGGCGAGCCUACCCGGGAACGAGCUACCCUGUAGCGAGUUACCCUGGAACGACUUACCCUGUAACGCCUGCCGGUGGACUACUAAACUCUUGUUAUUUUUAAGUAAUCUGAGCGUCUUAUUUUAAUAAGUCAAAAC
Molecule: unclassified non-coding RNA, 240 nt
Filed under: soil metagenome
Description: partial contains 5.8S ribosomal RNA, internal transcribed spacer 2, and large subunit ribosomal RNA
Source: RNAcentral